GCUGUAAGCUCAGUGGUGCAGCAUCUGUUUUGUAUGCAGAAGGUCCUAGGUUCCACUCCUGGCAUCUCCA
Non-coding RNA from Podarcis lilfordi (Lilford's wall lizard), 70 nucleotides. The record is from the annotation of a GenBank genome assembly. NCBI's taxonomy places the organism in Eukaryota, Metazoa, Chordata, Lepidosauria, Squamata, Lacertidae.